CCUACGGGAGGCAGCAGUUAGGGAUCUUGGGCAAUGGGCGAAAGCCUGACCCAGCGACGCCGCGUGGGCGAUGAAGGCCUUCGGGUCGUAAAGCCCUUUUCUGGGGGGAGAUAAUGACGGUACCCCAGGAAUAAGCCUCGGCUAACUAUGUGCCAGCAGCCGCGGUAAAACGUAGGAGGCAAGCGUUGUCCGGAUUCACUGGGCGUAAAGGGCGUGUAGGCGGCCCGGUAAGUUGGCUGUGAAAUCUCCCGGCUCAACUGGGAGGGGACAGUCAAUACUGCCAGGCUAGAGGGCAGCAGAGGGAGGCGGAAUUCCCGGAGUAGCGGUGAAAUGCGUAGAGAUCGGGAGGAACACCCGUGGCGAAAGCGGCCUCCUGGGCUGCUCCUGACGCUGAGGCGCGAAAGCGUGGGGAGCGAAC
RNAcentral lists this ribosomal RNA (418 nucleotides) under uncultured bacterium. Its description in RNAcentral is "partial 16S ribosomal RNA". It matches the Rfam family "Bacterial small subunit ribosomal RNA", at positions 338 to 773 of the family's 1533-position model. The record is from RNAcentral.